CCCUUCUCAAUACGAAUUUCAUUUAAUCCGUAUUCAUAAUCCUUUUCUGAAUCUGUACCAUUCACACAGCAAUCAUGCUUUAACUUUUCAAUCAUCAGAUUGAUUCUUUCUGGCUGUCAUAACCUUAACAGAUCACGGGGUGAUCUCAUCGUAUAUAUUACGAUUCAAUUCUAUGACUAUGAUCGCUUUGUUUUACGAUCUCCUAUCACUGAACAUUUAGUCUUUUAGACUUUAUCUAUUCACCACUUCUGUUCAACCUUAUUACCAGAGUUAGGGAACUCUGUAUCUUAACAACUUACCGAGAUUCAUCUUUGAAUCUUACCGACCAACUAACUCUAUGUGAGUUAGAUCUUAUCUUAAUCACUGCGGUUAUUG
This 375-nucleotide long non-coding RNA is filed under the name Panax ginseng (ginseng). RNAcentral's name for it is "long non-coding RNA (PGIN_LNC007365)". Lineage: Eukaryota; Viridiplantae; Streptophyta; Magnoliopsida; Apiales; Araliaceae. The record is from RNAcentral.